GCCUGGCCGACCGAGGGAGAUGGGCUCGCGUCGCGGUACUGACACCCCGGGGCGUCUCUGCCCUACUCAUGGGAGAGGCGCCCAGAGCGGUACACGUUGGACGAAAGAUGGUGAAUCAUGCCGGUCAGGACGAAGUCAGGGGAAACUCUGAUGGGAUCCGUAGCGUCCUGACGGCAAUCGACUCGUCGGAACUGGGUAUAGGGCAGAACUAAUCGAACUAUCUAGUAGCUGGUUCCUCCAAGUUUCCUCAGAAGCAUGGCAGCUCGGCCGUUCCAAUGUAACGCGCGAGUCUCAUCUGGUUUAGAAUGAUUGAGGGCCUUGGGCGAAUGCGACCUCAACCUAUUCUCAGACUUUGGGUGAGAUCUCUGGCUUUCUUGAAUUCAGAGCCACGAAUCCUGACUGGACGAGCUGCCAAGUGGGCCAUUUUGCUGGGCGAACUGGCGCUGUGGGGAUGAACAAAUCAGCAGAUGUUAGCGCAACUCGACCUCAUGGGACACCAUGAAGGCGUUGUUGCUUAAGACAGGCAGGACGGGGCAUGCGAGUCGGAAUCCGCUAAGGAGGAAACUCACCUGCCGAGCAACUAGCCCUGAAAUGAGGCCUGAAGCGUCGAGCCCAUAGACUCCGUCAGCGCAGCGGUGCGGCAUGCGAGCCGCGGUCGUCACGAGGCCUGAGAGUAGGAGGGUCGCGGCGGUGGCGCAGAAGGGUCUGCGUGAGCCUGCCUGGAGCGCCGUCAGGCAGGAUUGCAGUGGUAGUGAGUAAUACUCAGCGAGGCCCUGAGGACUGACGUGGAGAAAGGGUUUCAAGUGUGAACAGCCGUUGCACACGAGUCAGUCGAUCCUGAGUCCUAUGAAACAUGCAUCGUGACGGCGAUAUACCUCGAGGCUGUUCACUCCCCCUAUCAUGUCUGUGUCUCUUACGGAGAGCAGCAGCAGCAAGCAGAGCGGGCCGGCGAAAGAGGGCAGCGACAUCGUGGUAAGCUCAGUCGCGAGCGCAUGAGCGAGCGGCGGUGCGUGGAAACUCGAUCAGAGACGACGUGCGGACACGCGCGAGCGCGGGCCGCGCAGCCGACGGUGUUGUCGCGGAAGAGGCACGCCGUCGGGUCGAAAGGGAUCAGUUCCUAUUCUGAACCGGCAAGGGAACUCGCACUCACGGCCCCGCUAGAGUGUUCGUCGGGCUAACCAAAAUGACCUGAGACGCCGUCUAGGAUCCAGGAAGAGUUUGCUUUUCGUUAGCGCCGAGUCUCCCUGGAAACUCUAGCAGGAGAAUGGGUUGAACGCGAGAACUCGGCGUGCGGCGGUGGCCGGACUUCUCCCUGUACCGAAAUCCAGGAGGGCCACGUGAGCGUUCGCGCGGUUCGUACCAUGUCAGCAGGUCUUCCAGGAAAGAGUCAGGUCGAUAGAUUACUGAGCAGGCGCGAAGCCAAGGUACCGAUCUCAACUGGAUAAGUCAUGCUCUGAGGAGCGGCGUACGUACGGGUCGGAGCGGGUCUGGCUGACGUCCGGGCUCGGCGAGGUGGUCGGCGUUCUCGCGCCGUUGCUGCUGGAUCGGCCGACCGCGCUCUGGGCCUCCCGCGGUCUUCUGCUGCGCUUCCGUGGCGCGAGCCGUCGUGGUCGUCCUCUUCGGCUGCCAUUCAACGCCUCAGCUCUCAGAACUGGCUGGAUUCAGGGAAUCCGACUGUUCUAAUUAAAACAUAAAGUGCGAUGGCCCCGGGUGUUGACCAAUGUGAUUUCUGCCCAGUGCUCUGAAGUCAACGUGAAGAAAUCCAAGCAAGCGCAGAGUAGCUGGCGGGUAACUAUGACUCUCUUAAGUGCCAAAUGCCUCGUCAUCACCAGUGUGAUCGCGCAUGAAUGGAUUAACGAGCUCCACUGUCCCUAUCUCUAUCUAGCGAAACCACUGCCAGGAACGGGCUUGGAAAAUUAGCGGGAAAGAAGACCCUGUGGCUUGACUCUAGUCUGGCAUGUAGGAGACAUGAGAGGUGUAGCAUAAGGGAGAUGAGCAUCGCCGGAAAUACACUACUUUCAUGUUCUCCUACUUACUCGGUUAGGCGGGCGCGUCCCUCGAGAGGCCUUCAGCCCCGACGUGAACUGGUCUGGCGUUGUAGGUGGCGUGAGGCUUGGUCGAUCGCCGUUUAUACUCCCGCUGAGUCCGAUUCGAGACACGCCAGGCGGGAGUUUGACUGGGGCGUACAUCUGUCAAGAAUAACGCAGGUGUCUAAGCCAGCUCGCGAGGACCAGAAACCUCGCUGUAGCAAGAGGGCAAAGCUGGCGAUCUCUGAUGUUCAGUACGCAAGAGACUGCAAGCACGGCCUAUCGAUCGCGCAACGAAGAGUUUUCAGCAAGAGGUGUCAGAAAGUUACCACAGGGAUAACUGCUUGUGGCGGCCAAGCGUUCAUAGCGAUCGCUUUUGAUCCUUCGAUGUCGGCUCCCUAUCAUUGCGAAGCA
RNAcentral lists this ribosomal RNA (2441 nucleotides) under Ooceraea biroi (clonal raider ant). RNAcentral describes it as "eukaryotic LSU rRNA". It matches the Rfam family "Eukaryotic large subunit ribosomal RNA", at positions 709 to 2909 of the family's 3401-position model. Lineage: Eukaryota; Metazoa; Arthropoda; Insecta; Hymenoptera; Formicidae. The record is from RNAcentral.